This 1147-nucleotide long non-coding RNA is filed under the name Gallus gallus (chicken). RNAcentral's name for it is "lncRNA (ENSGALG00010029878.1)". Lineage: Eukaryota; Metazoa; Chordata; Aves; Galliformes; Phasianidae. The record is from RNAcentral.
UCAAUGAGACAUGGCCUAGCUCUAGAGAGCUGCAGGUGAAGCCCAAAGGAAUAGAAGCUGCUCACUUCUUUAUGGAAGGACUCAGCUGCUCACAACAGCAAGCCAUUGGCUUAUUCAACAGAACACAUCUUCUGAAGAUAUUUGAAUAUGAUAGCCAAGAAGACUGAGCAGUCUUUGAAGAAACAGAGGACCAUGCAGCUGAAGAGAUGCAAUAGGUUUUCAGAGAACUGAAUCCUUGCACAUCCUUCAGCUGAAUAAGCCCACCCUUCUGAAGAGUUUGGUCCAGGCUUUGUACAUCAAACAACCUUCAGUGAAGUUAUUCUUGCCUCAUACAAGUGGUAAGAGGAAAGCAAGUUAUUCAUAUUUAAUGCUAUUUUGUGCCAGAUGUUUUGCUGGUAGAAAUCCAUAGCUCCACAGGCACCAAUUUCUUCAGGAUCUGGAAUGUCUGGCCCAAUUUCUUUCUCACUGUGGAUGGUCUGUGAAAGAAACCACUUUAUUUUGCAAUAUUGAAUAUUCUUGCCGGGAAGUUAUAAACAAAAACAAAAUAAUGAGAGACAGGGUCUCUAAUAAGCUUCCUGUCGCAUGAGGCUCUGGUUCUAUUGAAGCAUAUGUGUUUGCUGACUUGCUUCCAAAAGGUUUGUUGAGUGGUGGUGAUUAGUUUCUGUUGUACUGAUAUUAUCUCUCUGUAGUCUCAUUCAAUACAAGUAGUUCUGUAAACAGUGAAGUCUUUUUUUCCUACGGGUUUGUACCUUGGAUUGUGUUUCAGCAUGGAUUCUCUGAUGUUUAAUGGGGAUUGAGUUCAUGUUCAGCCAAUUUCUUCAAUGAGGGAUGAAUAAUCUGUCUUUUUGGCCAUCUAUUUCCACAAAAUUUGCUGGAAUUAAAUAUCUUCAACGCCCUCUAUCAAAGUUGACUGGGAUUUAUGAACAAGUUUUGGAGUUAUUUGGGGCUGUCCAAUGUAGAUAAAAGAGAGUCUCAUUUUCUUACAAAAACAGAAUGUAAAAAUGCAUUUUUAAAGUGUUUUGUCUGAUUCUGUUCUAUUUGUGACCAGUCAUAUAGGAUGUGUUUUAUUUGUAAAGCUGUAUAAAAGUAUGAUGUGGGUUUUUUUGCCCUGUUGAGUGCAUAUUAAAGCAUCUUUAGUUUAUUCUUG